This is a long non-coding RNA of Dermacentor andersoni, 587 nucleotides long. RefSeq lists it as uncharacterized. The record is from RefSeq and is a predicted model, not a curated record. Lineage: Eukaryota; Metazoa; Arthropoda; Arachnida; Ixodida; Ixodidae.
CACGGGGACCUUAGAAACGGUGGGGAAAUUAAAGAGUAUAAAUUUCCAGCUGCUUAUACGAACACCAAUCGAAAAAAUCGACAAGAAAAAAAAAGUACGGCUUGCGAUUAGGUGAGCGGAUUUUGCGUGUGUUGCUUUCUCGCUUCUGCGAGCAUGUACGGUCGCCUGAAAGAGCGCGCUAGUAUGAGGCUUGUGGCAGUCGCGUUUUUCGUGACGACUGUCACCUACGAUGCAAACACACUUUCUGUUCCUCAGAGGAGAGCAGCUGGAGUGAAAAUUCUAGGCCCUAGAGAAUGCGCUCCAGGUGAAGCGUACACCUGUGUCAGUGGGGACUGCGGAGAGAGAACCUGCGCAGAUGCUGCAGACGACAACAAGAUCUGCGCAAGGACCUGCAUCACGGGCUGCUUUUGUGCCCCGGGCCUGUUCCGUCGUCCCACGGACCGCAGAUGCGUCCCGAGGGAGCAGUGUAACAAUACCAAGAUGCCAAUCGCAGCGGCCUCUUCCUUACAAUGAAUCGGGGACACUGCUGCAGACGCUUCCUCGUGUACCCACGAUUGGCUUUAUAAAUUAUGGUUUCCACCGACAAA